ACGGGAGGCAGCAGUGGGGAAUAUUGCACAAUGGGCGCAAGCCUGAUGCAGCGAUGCCGCGUGAGGGAAGAAGGUUUUCGGAUUGUAAACCUCUGUCAACAGGGACGAAAAUGACGGUACCUGUGAAGGAAGCUCCGGCUAACUACGUGCCAGCAGCCGCGGUAAUACGUAGGGAGCAAGCGUUAUCCGGAAUUACUGGGUGUAAAGGGCGUGUAGGCGGAGCUGCAAGUCAGAUGUGAAAUCCCGGGGCUCAACCCCGGAACUGCAUUUGAAACUGUAGCCCUUGAGUAUCGGAGAGGCAAGCGGAAUUCCUAGUGUAGCGGUGAAAUGCGUAGAUAUUAGGAGGAACACCAGUGGCGAAGGCGGCUUGCUGGACGACAACUGACGCUGAGGCGCGAAAGCGUGGGGAGCAAACAGGAUUAGAUACCCUGGUA
RNAcentral lists this ribosomal RNA (434 nucleotides) under uncultured Oscillospiraceae bacterium. RNAcentral's name for it is "bacterial SSU rRNA". It matches the Rfam family "Bacterial small subunit ribosomal RNA", at positions 341 to 792 of the family's 1533-position model. Lineage: Bacteria; Bacillati; Bacillota; Clostridia; Eubacteriales; Oscillospiraceae. The record is from RNAcentral.